Molecule: unclassified non-coding RNA, 235 nt
Filed under: Paraglomus laccatum
Lineage: Eukaryota; Fungi; Glomeromycota; Glomeromycetes; Paraglomerales; Paraglomeraceae
Description: partial internal transcribed spacer 2
Source: RNAcentral
UUUAACAAAUAAUGUGCGCGUCGUUUACGGACGACGUGCGCACGUUGAUGAGCUUUUCCGAAAAAACCAGGUUUUUUUGGUGGCGCAUAAUGAACAGCGUGGGCUUUUUCUUCGAUUCUCGUGUAGUAAAUCUUCAACGCUUGGGUUGAGAAAAAGUGCGUGCCGCGCAAUGGGUGUGGCGAAUUUUACCCCUGCCCCAAUGCCACUCUUUCCCUGCGAAAGAACAAUCUUUUAU